CCGCUUGGGGACGAGGAGUUUAACUCCUAAGUUCUCACUGGGCUUGGCCUAGACUACAACCCGCUGGUUACAUCUAUUGUGACUCGCGUCAAGCCCAUCACCUUCACCGAGCUGCAAGCACAGAUCUUGAGCUUCGAGU
RNAcentral lists this small nucleolar RNA (139 nucleotides) under Setaria italica (foxtail millet). RNAcentral's name for it is "Small nucleolar RNA Z247". It matches the Rfam family "Small nucleolar RNA Z247". Rfam says of the family: Z247 is a member of the C/D class of snoRNA which contain the C (UGAUGA) and D (CUGA) box motifs. Most of the members of the box C/D family function in directing site-specific 2'-O-methylation of substrate RNAs. Lineage: Eukaryota; Viridiplantae; Streptophyta; Magnoliopsida; Poales; Poaceae. The record is from Rfam by way of RNAcentral.